This 271-nucleotide ribosomal RNA is filed under the name uncultured archaeon. Its description in RNAcentral is "partial 16S ribosomal RNA". It matches the Rfam family "Archaeal small subunit ribosomal RNA", at positions 477 to 747 of the family's 1478-position model. The record is from RNAcentral.
CAGCGCCACAAGUGGGAAUCGCUUUUAUUGGGCCUAAAGCGUCCGUAGCCGGUCUAGUAAAUCUCUUGUGAAAUCGUUCGGCUCAACCGAGCGGCGUGCAGGAGACACUGCCAGACUAGGGACCGGGAGGGGUCAGAUGUAUUCUGGGGGGAGCGGUAAAAUGCUAUAAUCCUCAGAGGACAACCGGUGGCGAAGGCGUCUGACCAGAACGGAUCCGACGGUGAGGGACGAAAGCCAGGGGAGCAAUCCGGAUUAGAUACCCGAGUAGUCC